UACGUAGGGUGCUAGCGUUGUCCGGAUUUAUUGGGCGUAAAGGGCUCGUAGGCGGCGUGUCGCGUCGGGAGUGAAAGCCCGCUGCUUAACGGCGGGUUGGCUUCCGGUACGGGCAGACUAGAGGUAUGCAGGGGAGAACGGAAUUCCUGGUGUAGCGGUGAAAUGCGCAGAUAUCAGGAGGAACACCGGUGGCGAAGGCGGUUCUCUGGGCAUUACCUGACGCUGAGGAGCGAAAGCGUGGGUAGCAAACAGG
Molecule: ribosomal RNA, 253 nt
Filed under: uncultured bacterium
Lineage: Bacteria
Description: partial 16S ribosomal RNA
Rfam family: Bacterial small subunit ribosomal RNA
Source: RNAcentral